CAACCCUCAAAGCUUGCUUUGGUGUUGGAGGAAUACCCAGUAAAACGGGUACCCUCUGAAAUUUAGUGGCGGGCUCGCUAGAAUUUUGAGCGUAGUAAUUUUACCUCGUUUUUAAAGACUAGUGGGACUUCUUGCCGUAAAACCCCCAACUUUCUGAA
RNAcentral lists this unclassified non-coding RNA (158 nucleotides) under Plagiostoma aesculi. RNAcentral's name for it is "partial internal transcribed spacer 2". Lineage: Eukaryota; Fungi; Ascomycota; Sordariomycetes; Diaporthales; Gnomoniaceae. The record is from RNAcentral.